CCACCACACCCGGCUGGUUUUGAUUUUUUUAAUUGAAAAAUAUAUUAAACAUAAACAUAUUCUGGCCACAUAAUGUAUGCUUGUUUUUUUGUUUGUGUAGUCACAAGUUUUUCUGUGAUGCCUGGAUUUGCAGGGAAACCAGCCUGAACACUCAUUUCACGGUGUCUGUUACUUGGAAGGAAAACACAGUUUCUUAUUUCUUUGCAGAACCACUUGGGUGAAUGUAGGCUGUUAAAGUUGAAGGUGAGCUCACGUGCUCGAAUUCUGAGCCCAUGUGAGGAUGUCAGUAACUUCCAGUGGGGCAUGAAAACGAUACUGUGUUUUAACCCAAGCUCUCUUUGCCUCUCCAUUCCCACUUGCCUGGAUUUGGCUGGAUGUGCACCGCAAGGCUCCUUAUUUCUGGCACUACUGUACAAAAUGACCAGUGAAUCCCUCUUAUGUCAUGACUCUGAUUCUGAGUUCCUGGAAUCUUAAAAUAUAUCCAACACCUCUUUUCAUGUUUAGCAUUUCUGCACUAUUUUAAAACUUUUUAAGACCGUAAUUCAAUUUAUCCCCCAUGAGAAACCAAAUGUAUUUGGCACUUCCCUUCAUCCUUUGUGCUUACUUCUCAAUUCUAUUUCUGAUUUGUUGCCUGGCAUCCUUUGCUUUGGGAUCUAUGUGCCAAGAAAGCCACAAGGUUAACGUGGACCUGAACAGUGCUCUGUGAUCCUCUGUUGGAAAUCGCCAGAAAUCAAGGCAGUUUGGUAACAUCAUUCCGUGAGGCCUGAGCUUGCAGAACGCCUUGGGGAUGACCUUCUUAUUGGAUGCACACCAACUGCACUGUCUAGUAUACUAAGGUGAUGGUUGCUAUAUAGUGUGUGUUGUGAAGACUCAUAAGAUUAAAGGUUAUUCUCGUGAGAUAGAUAGGGCCAGGCUCCCGGGAAAUUCCCCAUAAGUUGAAACAAACAGUAAGGACACAUUUGCCUGGCCAAGGAAGUGAUCAAAGGAUCUUCGUGAGAAAACAGGAGAUUUAGGACCAGCCAAGAGAGUCAUUGUUUUCUUCGCUGCUAGCCUGGGUCACUUCCUCAUUAGUUAUGUCCCCAGAUAUUGGUCACCAAGAUCCCUGGGCCACUUUCCCAAUCCUUUGUAACCAAGUUCUGCUGAGAGUCCAUGUAAGAGCUGUAAGUCAACUGAAAUAUCUUCUCUACAAUGGACUUAAGCUUCUCAAAGCCAAAUAUAGUAUGAAUCACAAGAUGAAAACCUAAAACAAUCAGCUAACAGUUGGGAAACACUACCUCACUCCCCACCACCUACAAUAUACACACACAUACACAUCCAUCCAAACAUUUCUUUCUUUUAAGCUCUAAGUGUCAAAUCCCUGGACUGACAAUUACAUAUAUUUUCCCUCAUUUAUCUUAUAUUUUGAAUUGCACGUGCUUUUGAAAACCACCUAAAAUCCUUUGGGGAAAAAUAACGCAUAGGUUAAUCACUUUGUAAAUGAAAAAUAAAUGAUGUGCCAUUCUUCUUCCAAGGUUUUCCCUUUCACUGCAGCCCAGCAGUCCUUACUCUGUCCUAAGUUCCUUUAGCUUCCUUGCGGAAAUGCAGCUUCUAGGCUGCCUCGUGGUUUUUGCAGAGCACAGACAGCAUCCUGGAAGUAUGACGUGCUCUUCACUGGCAAGGACCUUCAGAGUUCCUCAGCCCCUCUCUCACUAGCUAUUGACACUCCCCAGCCCAGGCUUGGGCACAGACGAUGCGUUUGACAAACAAGUACUAUUGUUUGGGCCAGCCAGAUCUGUGGAAUGAACUUUGGAACUCAAAGGGGACUAAAGAUAGUUUUCUUUCACAUCUGCUAUGCUCCCAAGAUAGUUUAAGAGUUGUUGAAUGACUAUGUGUUUUAUGGGCACAAUCUCACUUAAUCCGCACAACUAGUUCAUCCUGUAGACAAGGAAACAAAGGCAUAAAGAGGCUUAGUCACCUGUCCAACAUGAAGAAACAUUGCCGGGAAGUCAGGCAAUCAACUUCACAAUUCAAAAUCUUGGUCAUGCAGGAGGAGCCAGAGGGAAAGAAAUAGCUGGGCGGUUAGAAAUGUGGCUUCAGCAAGACCACGGCGUUUGCUCUGGGCAUUGAAUGACAAGAUGAUUUGAAAUACGCAGAGAAGCUGGAGGCUGCUUAAGGAAAAGUAUGAGCCAAGUUUCCAAAUCUGGAAAGCACAGCCGGUCAUCGGCUCUUCCCAGAGCCUGGCCAAUGCUUCGCUGAGAAGGCCUCGCAGCAGCCCCCGAGGAUGAAGGAGGUGGGGGUCCUUGUGCUACUACUGUGACCUCUAGAAGAGAGAGGGCCAGGGCCCACCCACUACCCCCCAGCCCACCGCAGCCAGAUCCUGCGAAACUCCAGGCCUGGGCUGCCUUCAUCUUUAUAAUGAAGCUUAAUUUAUACUCUGGAGCAGAGUGCUGUGUAAUGACAUACAUGGCCAUACGCUCGGGAAGGAGUGGCAGGUUAAAGACUCAAUUUCCUGGCCUCUCCAGCUUUGCGUCACCCUGCUUAAUGAUAUUUCAACAUUGAAAGUAUCCCAGUUGCGUCUUCUGAAGCUGAGUCUCCUGUUUUAUGGUUCAUCCAAAUGUGCAGUGCUCAUCUGACUCGCUCAUCACCAUGCAGUGGGGCUGCAUGGAUGAAGCUAAUUUGUGCCGGGCCUAUUUGGAAGCUGGUGUUCCCGUCAUGAAGACUCAGAGGUAGGGCACUCAACUGAGUGAACUCUAGGUAGGAAAGAACAGUGACCACAGAAACGUAGUGUCUCUCUGAAGCUGGAAAUUUGAUCCCAGGUGAAAGCAACCCAGCAGCUGACUACUCAAUGUCUACUGUGUAGUUCCAAGGUUUAGUUCAACUGACUGCAGAUCACCGAAACCUCAGCUAGACCCUGGUUCAAGGCUUUUGGUGGUAGAAGAAGUUAUGUGUGCAGGCUUCACUGUCAGAGAGACUUAGGCUUUGCUCUCCGCUCUUAUGCUCUCUAGCAGAGCCAUCUUGGAUGAAUUGCUGAACUUCACACCAUAAUCUGGAUGUGAUAAUGUUUACUAUACAGACUUCAGGUAAGGAUUUAAUUGAGAUCAUAGACAGAAAGCACUAAGUAAGCAUUCCCUAACCCAUGCUAAUGCACAAAACUUGUUGGUUACUAUGAUUACAAAAGCUGCCACAACAUCUCUCUUGAAGCUUAUAGUGUAAGGGGAAAAGGGGUGCCGGGCACAAAGUUCCUCUAAACAGAGUUGAGCAAUGCUUUUAAGAACUGUUGGAAAUAGAUUUUACUAUCCCCAUUCUUCCCAUGAGGACAUGAAAACCCCUAAAACCUAAAGUUUUGCUCAAGGCCACAUAGCUAAUCAUAGGGCCUGGAUGAAAAUCUGUGUCCGCUGGAACUGUCUCCCAUUAAAGGCCAUGAACUUUCCAUAACAUCAGCAGCCACUUCUGACUUCUCACUCUUCCACGGAGAGGCUGGACACUGGGGAACAUGUUGUUUCAACUAAUUUUACCUUUGUUAUCACAUUCAGUAAGUGGUAUUUAUGUUGGCUGUCCUUUAUGUCUCAUUUGAUUAGGCUUCAGGAGAACAAAUGAUAUAGUAGUCACAAGAAGACUUGAUAAAACAGGAUAUUCCUAUCUCAAUUUUUUUUUCUGGCUUUCUCUUGAUUUGAGGAGCCCAUAGGAAGAACAAAUAAAACCAAAGCAUGAGUGGGUAAAAGAAUGCCCAUCAGUAAAGCAGCAAACGAGCUUUGAGCUCUUUGGAGAAUUCCAUUAAUAAAAGUACUUUUGCACUUGCCACUGUUGACAGAGAUGGAGGACUUGGGUCUCCUAACACCGUCAAGCUGCACCUUUGUGUAACACAUCUAAUCCACUACAGAGGGACAACUUUCAACUGAUGCCUACAGUUUUUCCUUCUCUGAAGCUUAGUGACAUUCAUCGUUUUCUUCUCACAUUUUCUUUUAAAUGCCCCAGUGCAUGACUACCUUUUCAAGGGUUUGUCCCUUUUCAGUAAGAGAGAAAUCAACUAUAGCAGACACUGGGAGGCAGGGUCCACAGCUCUCCCAAGAAUGACAAUAAUGUGAUGGUUUAGGCAUCUGACCCUUACUCAUUGCUCUCUCCAACUCUGUUCCAUUUUGAUAUUAAUUAAAAACAGUUUUAAUCUAAAACCCGUCUAUCAAAAGAAGAACUGCUUGAAGCAAUAUAUGCCUCCUGAAGUCAAUGUCAUGUGACUUUACUCCACUUGAAUUACCUGAAGCAAGACAGUAGUAGUAAUAGCUAUCAUAGUCCAGCUACCAUUUCUUUU
RNAcentral lists this long non-coding RNA (4285 nucleotides) under Homo sapiens (human). Its description in RNAcentral is "HSALNT0340464". The record is from RNAcentral. Lineage: Eukaryota; Metazoa; Chordata; Mammalia; Primates; Hominidae.